RNAcentral lists this ribosomal RNA (376 nucleotides) under uncultured Legionella sp. Its description in RNAcentral is "bacterial SSU rRNA". It matches the Rfam family "Bacterial small subunit ribosomal RNA", at positions 283 to 651 of the family's 1533-position model. Lineage: Bacteria; Pseudomonadati; Pseudomonadota; Gammaproteobacteria; Legionellales; Legionellaceae. The record is from RNAcentral.
GUAGCUGGUCUGAGAGGAUGRCCAGCCACACUGGAACUGAGACACGGUCCAGACUCCUACGGGAGGCAGCAGUGGGGAAUAUUGGACAAUGGGGGCAACCCUGAUCCAGCAAUGCCGCGUGUGUGAAGAAGGCCUGAGGGUUGUAAAGCACUUUCAGUGGGGAGGAGGGUUGAUAGGUUAAGAGCUAAUUAAUUGGACGUUACCCACAGAAGAAGCACCGGCUAACUCCGUGCCAGCAGCCGCGGUAAUACGGAGGGUGCGAGCGUUAAUCGGAAUUACUGGGCGUAAAGGGUGCGUAGGUGGUUAAUUAAGUUAUCUGUGAAAUCCCUGGGCUUAACCUGGGCAGGUCAGAUAAUACUGAUUGACUCGAGUAUGG